GACGAACGCUGGCGGCGUGCUUAACACAUGCAAGUCGAACGGAAAGGCCCUGCUUUUGUGGGGUGCUCGAGUGGCGAACGGGUGAGUAACACGUGAGUAACCUGCCCUUGACUUUGGGAUAACUUCAGGAAACUGGGGCUAAUACCGGAUAGGAGCUCCUGCUGCAUGGUGGGGGUUGGAAAGUUUCGGCGGUUGGGGAUGGACUCGCGGCUUAUCAGCUUGUUGGUGGGGUAGUGGCUUACCAAGGCUUUGACGGGUAGCCGGCCUGAGAGGGUGACCGGCCACAUUGGGACUGAGAUACGGCCCAGACUCCUACGGGAGGCAGCAGUGGGGAAUAUUGCACAAUGGGCGGGAGCCUGAUGCAGCAACGCCGCGUGCGGGAUGACGGCCUUUGGGUUGUAAACCGCUUUCGCCUGUGACGAAGCGUGAGUGACGGUAAUGGGUAAAGAAGCACCGGCUAACUACGUG
RNAcentral lists this ribosomal RNA (468 nucleotides) under uncultured bacterium. Its description in RNAcentral is "partial 16S ribosomal RNA". It matches the Rfam family "Bacterial small subunit ribosomal RNA", at positions 28 to 507 of the family's 1533-position model. The record is from RNAcentral.